CAUGUUUUAUAUAUGAUGAAGGAGACCUUUAUUAUGUUGGCAAAGGUGACACAUCAGGCAUCAGACAUAGAGUUAUUUAGGAUGUAGAGGAUAUGUCUGGUACAAGAUGACACAGGAUGUAAAAGAAUAUUCACAGAAAUAUUGGAGAUUGAAGCGUGUGAUGCAUACCAAAGACAAAGUAAGAUAAAGACUCAGAGCCCAGAGCUUAAGCCAGUGAGCCAGUCAGUGAGCCUCUGGAAUUAG
Molecule: unclassified non-coding RNA, 243 nt
Filed under: Lingula anatina
Lineage: Eukaryota; Metazoa; Brachiopoda; Lingulata; Lingulida; Lingulidae
Description: uncharacterized LOC106174115, transcript variant X1
Source: RNAcentral